AACCCAUGGUGUGGGCAUUGCUUAGUGUAGCUCCUGAAUCUCUCCCAUGCUUCACCAAAACUCUCAUUACUAUGUUGACUGAAGCUGUAGAUUUGGUUUCUUAGCUU
Molecule: small nucleolar RNA, 107 nt
Filed under: Eutrema salsugineum
Lineage: Eukaryota; Viridiplantae; Streptophyta; Magnoliopsida; Brassicales; Brassicaceae
Description: Plant small nucleolar RNA R71
Rfam family: Plant small nucleolar RNA R71
About the family: R71 is a member of the C/D box family of snoRNAs containing the C (UGAUGA) and D (CUGA) box motifs. Multiple nearly identical copies of this snoRNA have been identified in Arabidopsis, and it is thought to function as a 2'-O-ribose methylation guide for 18S ribosomal RNA.
Source: Rfam by way of RNAcentral